CUAUUCCUACGGGGGGCAGCAGUGGGGGAUAUUGCACAAUGGGGGAAACCCUGAUGCAGCGACGCCGCGUGAGUGAAGAAGUAUUUCGGUAUGUAAAGCUCUAUCAGCAGGGAAGAAAAAAGACGGUACCUGACUAAGAAGCCCCGGCUAACUACGUGUCAGCAGCCGCGGUAAUACGUAGGGGGCAAGCGUUAUCCGGAUUUACUGGGUGUAAAGGGGGCGCAGACGGCGAUGCAAGCCAGGAGUGAAAGCCCGGGGCCCAACCCCGGGACUGCUCUUGGAACUGCGUGGCUAGAGUGCAGGAG
This 305-nucleotide ribosomal RNA is filed under the name uncultured bacterium. RNAcentral's name for it is "partial 16S ribosomal RNA". It matches the Rfam family "Bacterial small subunit ribosomal RNA", at positions 333 to 654 of the family's 1533-position model. The record is from RNAcentral.